Molecule: ribosomal RNA, 253 nt
Filed under: uncultured bacterium
Lineage: Bacteria
Description: partial 16S ribosomal RNA
Rfam family: Bacterial small subunit ribosomal RNA
Source: RNAcentral
AACGUAGGAGACAAACGUUAUCCGGAGUUACUGGGCGUAAAGGGCGUGUAGGCGGUUAGUUAAGUCUGGCGUGAAAGCUCCCGGCUAAACCGGGAGAGGUCGUUGGAUACUGGCUGACUAGAGGACGGUAGAGGCGUGUGGAAUUCCGGGUGUAGUGGUGAAAUGCGUAGAGAUCCGGAGGAACACCAGUGGCGAAGGCGGCAUCCUGGUCUGCGACUGACGCUGUGGCGCGAAAGCUAGGGGAGCGAACGGG